This 418-nucleotide ribosomal RNA is filed under the name uncultured bacterium. RNAcentral's name for it is "bacterial SSU rRNA". It matches the Rfam family "Bacterial small subunit ribosomal RNA", at positions 43 to 459 of the family's 1533-position model. The record is from RNAcentral.
CAGGCCUAACACAUGCAAGUCGAGCGGAAACGAAGAGAGCUUGCUCUCUGGCGUCGAGCGGCGGACGGGUGAGUAAAGCGCAGGAAUCUGCCCGGCAGAGGGGGAUAGCCCGGAGAAAUCCGGAUUAAUACCGCAUACGCCCUACGGGGGAAAGCAGGGGAUCUUCGGACCUUGCACUGUCGGAUGAGCCUGCGUCGGAUUAGCCAGCUGGUGGGGUAAAGGCCUACCAGGGCGACGAUCCGUAGCUGUUCUGAGAGGAAGAUAAGCCACACUGGGACUGAGACACGGCCCAGACUCCUGCGGGAGGCAGCAGUGGGGAAUAUUGGACAAUGGGCGCAAGCCUGAUCCAGCCAUGCCGCGUGUGUGAAGAAGGCUCUAGGGUUGUAAAGCACUUUCAGCGGGGAGGAAAGGAAGUCGG